This 266-nucleotide ribosomal RNA is filed under the name Isochrysis galbana. RNAcentral's name for it is "partial Bacterial large subunit ribosomal RNA". It matches the Rfam family "Bacterial large subunit ribosomal RNA", at positions 1849 to 2114 of the family's 2925-position model. The record is from RNAcentral. Lineage: Eukaryota; Haptophyta; Isochrysidales; Isochrysidaceae.
GGACUGACGCCUGCCCGGUGCUGGAAGGUUAAGAGGAAGGGUUAGCGCAAGCGAAGCUCUGAAUUUAAGCCCCAGUAAACGGCGGUGGUAACUAUAACCAUCCUAAGGUAGCGAAAUUCCUUGUCGGGUAAGUUCCGACCUGCACGAAUGGCGUAACGAUUGCCCCACUGUCUCCAACAUCGACUCAGCGAAAUUGAAUUGCCUGUCAAGAUGCAGGCUUCCCGCGGUUAGACGGAAAGACCCCGUGCACCUUUACUAUAGCUCCG